This 306-nucleotide unclassified non-coding RNA is filed under the name plant metagenome. RNAcentral describes it as "partial contains 5.8S ribosomal RNA, internal transcribed spacer 2, and large subunit ribosomal RNA". The stretch from base 1 to 105 matches the Rfam family "5.8S ribosomal RNA", at positions 50 to 154 of the family's 154-position model. The record is from RNAcentral.
GAAAUGCGAUAAGUAGUGUGAAUUGCAGAAUUCAGUGAAUCAUCGAAUCUUUGAACGCACAUUGCGCCCCUUGGUAUUCCAUGGGGCAUGCCUGUUCGAGCGUCAUCUACACACUCAAGCUCUGCUUGGUGUUGGGCGUCUUUGUCCCGCCUCCGCGCGCGGACUCGCCCCAAAUUCAUUGGCAGCGGUCCUUGCCUCCUCUCGCGCAGCACAUUGCGCUUCUCGAGGUGUUGCGGCCCGCGUCCAGAAAGCAAUCGUUACCGUCUUUGACCUCGGAUCAGGUAGGGAUACCCGCUGAACUUAAGC